RNAcentral lists this long non-coding RNA (1066 nucleotides) under Homo sapiens (human). Its description in RNAcentral is "HSALNT0331721". The record is from RNAcentral. Lineage: Eukaryota; Metazoa; Chordata; Mammalia; Primates; Hominidae.
GAAAGGGAAGAACAUAAAAAGCACUGGAAAAUUUCCAGGGAUGUGGGCACGGACAUCUUUGGAGGCUGCUAUUCUACAAUGCAUGAAGGAUGGAGGAAGUACGAGUUGUCAAGCUGCGGAACCUGGGAUCUCCUACCUCUGGCUUUCUCACUACGUGAAAUGAAUUUCCAAACUGUUCAAGCUAAAAAAAAAAAUGCAUAUAUCUUAGUUUGCUUUGUGGCUUUCUGACUGAUAUUAUGAACAAAUUCAUGCUAUAUAAUUGUAUCCCCUUGAUAACUUUUCAUACUAAAUUUACACUCAUGAACACCAAAGUACGAAAUGAAAAAUUCAGGCAAGUUACAGCAAAGAGCCCAGAUAAACAAGGGAAAAAAUGCUUGUCUAUGAGCAAUCUACCAAAUCAGGAUCGCUACUUGGAAGCAUUCAAAAUUAGUCUUUAUUAUUAAAGUACAUUUUUUUCACAGGAAGAAAGACUUCCUGUAUAUGUCUAAACGGUUGAUGUAAAAGUGCAGCUGGCCAUACAUAGGCUAAUCCACAUUAAUUUAAUAUUAAAAUACAGUAUGCCAGCUCUUUCUAAAUUUGCUCCAGAGCAAUAGAUGUCUUGGGAGUCCAUAUUAAUGAAACAUUAUGUUGCUCUAAGCAAAAAGGAGCCCUGCGGAACAGCCCUGAAAAGAAGAAAAAGACCAGGAAACUUCACAGGCUGCUCUGCUCAAAAAGAAGAUUAAAAAUACCCACUAGAAGAAUUAGGAAACAAAUACAAGAGCACCUUUUUCUUUAAUUUCUCCACUUUCCUCUUUCCACAUAUGAUUUAACACAAGUUUUGCCAUAAUAGGCUGUCCUUAAUAAAGACAACACAGAAUGAAUUAAUAAGUGAAUGAAUGAAUAAAAAACAAAUGAUUGGAUAGAAUGGUUCAUCAUUUGGGAUCAAUAUGUCUAUGAAGGAUAGUAAUGAAAGUAUAAGUAGUUGUCAACAGUUUCCCUCUUCUUUCUCACUCAGCAGCAGCCACAUGUUCUCACUGUCCUUAAGCAGAUCUAGUAGUUGCGUGGAGUGCUAAAGUCUAACUGUGAA